This 253-nucleotide ribosomal RNA is filed under the name uncultured bacterium. RNAcentral's name for it is "partial 16S ribosomal RNA". It matches the Rfam family "Bacterial small subunit ribosomal RNA", at positions 524 to 776 of the family's 1533-position model. The record is from RNAcentral.
UACGUAGGGGGCAAGCGUUGUCCGGAUUUACUGGGCGUAAAGAGCGUGUAGGCGGCCAAACAGGUCCGUUGUGAAAACUGGAGGCUUAACCUCCAGACGUCGACGGAAACCGUAUGGCUAGAGUGCGGUAGGGGAGACUGGAAUUCCUGGUGUAGCGGUGAAAUGCGCAGAUAUCAGGAGGAACACCGGUGGCGAAGGCGGGUCUCUGGGCCGUAACUGACGCUGAGGAGCGAAAGCGUGGGGAGCGAACAGG